This 471-nucleotide ribosomal RNA is filed under the name uncultured Lutibacterium sp. RNAcentral's name for it is "bacterial SSU rRNA". It matches the Rfam family "Bacterial small subunit ribosomal RNA", at positions 372 to 860 of the family's 1533-position model. Lineage: Bacteria; Pseudomonadati; Pseudomonadota; Alphaproteobacteria; Sphingomonadales; Sphingomonadaceae. The record is from RNAcentral.
UGGGCGAAAGCCUGAUCCAGCAAUGCCGCGUGAGUGAUGAAGGCCUUAGGGUUGUAAAGCUCUUUUACCAGGGAUGAUAAUGACAGUACCUGGAGAAUAAGCUCCGGCUAACUCCGUGCCAGCAGCCGCGGUAAUACGGAGGGAGCUAGCGUUGUUCGGAAAUACUGGGCGUAAAGCGAACGUAGGCGGUUUAUUAAGUCAGGGGUGAAAUCCCGGAGCUCAACUCCGGAACUGCCCUUGAAACUGCUUGACUAGAAUCCUGGAGAGGUCAGUGGAAUUCCGAGUGUAGAGGUGAAAUUCGUAGAUAUUCGGAAGAACACCAGUGGCGAAGGCGACUGCCUGGACAAGUAUUGACGCUGAGGUUCGAAAGCGUGGGGAGCAAACAGGAUUAGAUACCCUGGUAGUCCACGCCGUAAACGAUGAUAACUAGCUGUUCGGGCUCAUAGAGCUUGGGUGGCGCAGCUAACGCAU